This 216-nucleotide ribosomal RNA is filed under the name uncultured bacterium. RNAcentral describes it as "partial 16S ribosomal RNA". It matches the Rfam family "Bacterial small subunit ribosomal RNA", at positions 1285 to 1500 of the family's 1533-position model. The record is from RNAcentral.
GUCUCAGUUCGGAUUGAAGGCUGAAAUUCGCCUUCCAUGAAGCCGGAAUUGCUAGUAAUGGCAGGUCAGCAUACUGCCGUGAAUACGUUCCCGGGCCUUGUACACACCGCCCGUCACACCAUGAGAGUUGGGAAUACCCGAAGCCUGUGAGCUAACUUUUAGAGGCAGCAGUCGAAGGUAGAAUCAAUGAUUGGGGUGAAGUCGUAACAAGGUAGC